GGACUACCCGGGUUUCUAAUCCUGUUUGAUCCCCGCACUUUCGAGCCUCAGUGUCAGUUAUAGUUUUGUGAGCUGCCUUCGCAAUCGGUGUUCUAUGACAUCUCUAAGUAUUUCACCACUACAUGUCAUAUUCCGCCCACAGCAACUAUACUCAAGCCCUACAGUAUCAAUGGCAAUUCCAGAGUUAAGCUCUAGUCUUUCACCGCUGACUUAUAAGGCCACCUACGCUCCCUUUAAACCCAAUAAAUCCGGAUAACGCUUGCAUCCUUCGUCUUACCGCGGCUGCUGGCAC
RNAcentral lists this ribosomal RNA (292 nucleotides) under uncultured Bacteroidota bacterium. RNAcentral's name for it is "uncultured Bacteroidetes bacterium partial 16S ribosomal RNA". The record is from RNAcentral. Lineage: Bacteria; Pseudomonadati; Bacteroidota.